This 274-nucleotide ribosomal RNA is filed under the name uncultured bacterium. Its description in RNAcentral is "partial 16S ribosomal RNA". It matches the Rfam family "Bacterial small subunit ribosomal RNA", at positions 523 to 796 of the family's 1533-position model. The record is from RNAcentral.
AUACGGAGGGUGCAAGCGUUAAUCGGAAUUACUGGGCGUAAAGCGUACGUAGGCGGUGAGUUAAGUUAGAUGUGAAAGCCCCGGGCUCAACCUGGGAACUGCAUUUAAAACUGGCUCACUAGAGUUGAGUAGAGGGGAGUGGAACUUCAGGUGUAGCGGUGAAAUGCGUAGAGAUCUGAAGGAACACCAGUGGCGAAGGCGACUCCCUGGACUCGAACUGACGCUGAGGUACGAAAGCGUGGGUAGCAAACGGGAUUAGAAACCCUAGUAGUCC